UUCAAAUUUAAACCGUUGAUUCUUUACAAAACUCUAGAUAAUACAAUUUCAAUAGCACGGCCUUUACAUGUUGACUUACAAACACCUAUUUACUAAUUUUGCAAUUUCUUACAAACCCAACACUCAAAUGACAUGAAUUUUUUUUUAUAGCUUCUCAAUAUUUUAACUACACCUUUGGCAAGUUUGAACCAAAACUCAUUCAAAAAUUCUCAAAAAAAAUGGCUCAAAAUAUAACCAUCAACAAUUCCGUUCACUUACUUCCUUAAUUUGCAAGCUCUGGCUUCGACCAGCGAUUUCUUCCUCACUUUAGAUUUGAUUUCAUCAAAUCUUGCACAAUAGUUAAAUUCCUUCAAGUCAACUUUCCAACUCCACCUUCCAAUUGUUAAAUGCCUUUCUACAACUCUUUGUAUGCUUAAAAGAGUGACGGUAGGUAUAAAUUCCACAUCUAGACUUUAAACAGCCAUAACUCUCUCAUUGCAGACUCAAAGUUAACAACCCUUUCACAAAAAUUGUAGUCCUUCAAACCAGCUUUCCAACGAUAUCUUUCGUUUUCCAGAAACCCUUCUACAACUUUCUGUAUGCUUAAAAGAGUGACAGUCAGUAAACAAUUCACACCCUGACUUCAAACAACCUUAACUUCUUCAUACAAAACUCAAAUAACAAACUUUAUAUACCAAAAUUAUAGCCCAAAAUACAAGCUUUCUGAAUCUCUCCUCUAAAACCUGGAAUCUCCCUGAAGAAGUGGCCUCCCCUUCAGUUUUCUCUCAGACAACCCCUUGAAGCUUAUUGGUUAUGACCUAUAGCCAAUGAGUGAAGAUCCUCUUAUCCUUGCCUUAUCUAUCCACGUAGAUGGCCUAAGGCCACAAUACUAUAAUAUCAAUAUCCAUAUCUUUCUACAUCUUUCAUAUUAAAUAACUCUAAUUCUUCUACUUUUACUUAUAAAACUUACACAAGUUAGUUAAUAUUUCUAUAAACUAUGAACUUCUAUAGAAAAUAACUCAUUAUUUUCUAAGGUCAUUAUUAAAUAACAUCAAUAUAAUAAUCAUUAUUUUUACACUAUGAAUAAAUUACAACACAACACUGUUCCUAGAUAAUUUUAUAAUACCUAU
This 1109-nucleotide long non-coding RNA is filed under the name Physcomitrium patens. RNAcentral describes it as "long non-coding RNA (PPAT_LNC012753)". The record is from RNAcentral. Lineage: Eukaryota; Viridiplantae; Streptophyta; Bryopsida; Funariales; Funariaceae.